UGGGGAAUAUUGCACAAUGGGGGAAACCCUGAUGCAGCGACGCCGCGUGAGCGAAGAAGGUUUUCGAAUCGUAAAGCUCUGUCCUAUGGGAAGAUAAUGACGGUACCAUAGGAGGAAGCCCCGGCUAACUACGUGCCAGCAGCCGCGGUAAUACGUAGGGGGCAAGCGUUGUCCGGAAUCACUGGGCGUAAAGGGUUCGCAGGCGGAAAUGCAAGUCAGUUGUGAAAGGCAGAGGCUCAACCUCUGUAAGCAAUUGAAACUGUAUUUCUUGAGAUGUGGAGAGGAAAGUGGAAUUCCUAGUGUAGCGGUGAAAUGCGUAGAUAUUAGGAAGAAUACCGGUGGCGAAGGCGACUUGCUGGACACAAACUGACGAUGAGGAACGAAAGCGUGGGUAGCAAACAGG
RNAcentral lists this ribosomal RNA (403 nucleotides) under Fusobacteriota bacterium. RNAcentral describes it as "Fusobacteria bacterium partial 16S ribosomal RNA". It matches the Rfam family "Bacterial small subunit ribosomal RNA", at positions 355 to 776 of the family's 1533-position model. The record is from RNAcentral. Lineage: Bacteria; Fusobacteriati; Fusobacteriota.